AGUGAACGCUGGCGGUAGGCCUAACACAUGCAAGUCGAACGGCAGCACAGUAAGAGCUUGCUCUUACGGGUGGCGAGUGGCGGACGGGUGAGGAAUACGUCGGAAUCUACUUUUUCGUGGGGGAUAACGUAGGGAAACUUACGCUAAUACCGCAUACGACCUACGGGUGAAAGCAGGGGAUCUUCGGACCUUGCGCGAUUGAAUGAGCCGAUGUCGGAUUAGCUAGUUGGCGGGGUAAAGGCCCACCAAGGCGACGAUCCGUAGCUGGUCUGAGAGGAUGAUCAGCCACACUGGAACUGAGACACGGUCCAGACUCCUACGGGAGGCAGCAGUGGGGAAUAUUGGACAAUGGGCGCAAGCCUGAUCCAGCCAUACCGCGUGGGUGAAGAAGGCCUUCGGGUUGUAAAGCCCUUUUGUUGGGAAAGAAAAGCAGCGGGUUAAUACCCCGCUGUUCUGACGGUACCCAAAGAAUAAGCACCGGCUAACUUCGUG
RNAcentral lists this ribosomal RNA (492 nucleotides) under uncultured bacterium. Its description in RNAcentral is "partial 16S ribosomal RNA". It matches the Rfam family "Bacterial small subunit ribosomal RNA", at positions 29 to 507 of the family's 1533-position model. The record is from RNAcentral.